This is a long non-coding RNA of Lontra canadensis (Northern American river otter), 1028 nucleotides long. RefSeq lists it as uncharacterized. The transcript is spliced from 3 exons. Lineage: Eukaryota; Metazoa; Chordata; Mammalia; Carnivora; Mustelidae. The record is from RefSeq and is a predicted model, not a curated record.
GGGAGGGCAGGAAGGCGCGCCUCCGCAGACUGGGCCGGGAGGGGGAGGGUGCGAGCGGGAGGAACGGUUAAGCCGGGUGUCUCCUCCAAAGCUGCCCGGCCGGCAAACGAGGGCAUGGUGAAGAAAGGUUCUACUGCGCGAAGUUAGCCUACCCCCUUUUCGGGCCUGAAUGUCCUCAUUGCCCUUGACGCCUGGACCGUCUUCCUCGUCCCACACGGCCUGGGGGCUCCCUAGCUUGGGAGGGGGCCACAGUCGGGGACCUGAGGCGAUACCACAGGGCUGGCGUGAUGGCAACAUGCAAGCUCCGUCACCCAGCUUGGUCCUGCAAAGGAGUAUGGGGAUGAAGAAACUCCCAGCCAUCGGGGAUGAACACAAACUUGAUUCAUCAUGAGGACACACGAUGGUCACCUCUGCUACAGUCCGGAAGGUAAUCUUUCUGCUCCUACUGCCAGGCAGAGUGCAAACUACUUCCAGAAACACUGUGCGGUUUCUAAUAAGGUGAAAUAUACACUCACUGUAUGACCCAGCAAUCCCAUUUACCCAAGAGGUACUUAUCUAAGAGAAAUGAACCUUUGUCCACACAAGGACUUGUAGGUGAAUGUUCUAGCAGCUUUAUCAUAAUAGCCCCAAACUGGAAACAGCUCAGAUGUCCUUCAACUGGACCAUGAAUUACAAAUGGGUUCAUCUAAGCAGGCGAAUUCUGCUCUGUAAUAAAAAGAACUGGACUCUUGAUAUAUACAACAACACGAACGCCUCUCAAAAGCGUCAUACUGAGUGAAAGAAUCCAGAUGGGAAAAGCUAGAUGAUUUGUAUUUAUAUGGAAUUUAAGAAAAAGCAAAACUAUAAUGGUGUGAAGAAGUUCCCUGGUUGGGCUGGGGAAAGUGGGAGGGAGUGACUAAAAGGGGCACAGGGGAAUUUUCUGAGGUGAUAUGAUUAUUCUGUAACAUGACUGUGGUGGUGGUUACAUGAAAAUAUACACUUCUUCUGUCUUAUUGAAUUGUGCUUAAAAUUAAAGAAUUUCAUUGUGU